CGCAGCUGUCUUUUCCGGCCCCCGUGUACUCUCCGCCCGAGGCGGAGCCCCCUGGCUCGCGGGGAUCGCCCCCGAGCGCUGCGUCCUGCGGGUCACCUAACCCAUUUGUGGCUUCCUCUACCUGUGCUCAGUCAUGGCCAGCGAGAGCUCACCUCUGCUGGCCUACCGGCUCCUGGGGGAGGAGGGGGCUGCCCUCCCUGCCAAUGGGGCCGGGGGUCCUGGAGGGGCGUCUGCCCGGAAGCUGUCCACCUUCCUGGGUGUGGUGGUGCCCACUGUCCUGUCCAUGUUCAGCAUAGUUGUUUUUCUGAGGAUUGGGUUCGUGGUGGGUCAUGCUGGGCUACUGCAGGCCCUGGCCAUGCUGCUGGUUGCCUACUUCAUCCUGGCACUUACCGUCCUCUCUGUCUGUGCCAUCGCCACCAAUGGAGCCGUGCAGGGGGGCGGAGCCUACUUCAUGAUCAGCCGCACACUGGGGCCCGAGGUCGGGGGCAGCAUUGGGCUCAUGUUCUACCUGGCUAACGUCUGUGGCUGUGCCGUCUCCCUCCUGGGGCUGGUGGAGUCUGUGCUUGAUGUCUUCGGGGCCGGUCUGUGCUCUGUCCGAUCUGGGCAGUGCUGCGGGUUUACAGGGUCUGGGAGUGUGGGAUCAUGAGGGAGAAGGUCCUCUCCAGGAGAGGG
RNAcentral lists this small RNA (672 nucleotides) under Pan troglodytes (chimpanzee). Its description in RNAcentral is "retained intron". The record is from RNAcentral. Lineage: Eukaryota; Metazoa; Chordata; Mammalia; Primates; Hominidae.